UGACGCUGCGCAGCUACACAUGCAAGUCGAGCGAGAGAGUAGCUUGCUACUGAUCUAGCGGCGGACGGGUGAGUAAUGCUAAGGAAUCUGCCUAUUAGUGGGGACAACAUCUCGAAAGGGAUGCUAAUACCGCAUACGUCUACGGGAGAAAGCAGGGGAUCUUCGGACCUUGCGCUAAUAGAUGAGCUAAGUCGGAUUAGCUAGUUGGUGGGGUAAAGGCCUACCAAGGCGACGAUCUGUAGCGGGUCUGAGAGGAUGAUCCGCCACACUGGGACUGAGACACGGCCCAGACUCCUACGGGAGGCAGCAGUGGGGAAUAUUGGACAAUGGGGGGAACCCUGAUCCAGCCAUGCCGCGUGUGUGAAGAAGGCCUUAUGGUUGUAAAGCACUUUAAGCGAGGAGGAGGCUACUUUAGUUAAUACCUAGAGAUAGUGGACGUUACUCGCAGAAUAAGCACCGGCUAACUCUGUGCCAGCAGCCGCGGUAAUACAGAGGGUGCAAGCGUUAAUCGGAUUUACUGGGCGUAAAGCGCGCGUAGGCGGCUAAUUAAGUCAAAUGUGAAAUCCCCGAGCUUAACUUGGGAAUUGCAUUCGAUACUGGUUAGCUAGAGUGUGGGAGAGGAUGGUAGAAUUCCAGGUGUAGCGGUGAAAUGCGUAGAGAUCUGGAGGAAUACCGAUGGCGAAGGCAGCCAUCUGGCCUAACACUGACGCUGAGGUGCGAAAGCAUGGGGAGCAAACAGGAUUAGAUACCCUGGUAGUCCAUGCCGUAAACGAUGUCUACUAGCCGUUGGGGCCUUUGAGGCUUUAGUGGCGCAGCUAACGCGAUAAGUAGACCGCCUGGGGAGUACGGUCGCAAGACUAAAACUCAAAUGAAUUGACGGGGGCCCGCACAAGCGGUGGAGCAUGUGGUUUAAUUCGAUGCAACGCGAAGAACCUUACCUGGCCUUGACAUAGUAAGAACUUUCCAGAGAUGGAUUGGUGCCUUCGGGAACUUACAUACA
This 1000-nucleotide ribosomal RNA is filed under the name Acinetobacter seifertii. RNAcentral describes it as "bacterial SSU rRNA". It matches the Rfam family "Bacterial small subunit ribosomal RNA", at positions 31 to 1036 of the family's 1533-position model. Lineage: Bacteria; Pseudomonadati; Pseudomonadota; Gammaproteobacteria; Moraxellales; Moraxellaceae. The record is from RNAcentral.